GAUGAACGCUGGCGGCGUGCCUAAUACAUGCAAGUCGAGCGAACAGACGAGGAGCUUGCUCCUCUGACGUUAGCGGCGGACGGGUGAGUAACACGUGGAUAACCUAACUCUCAGACUGGGAUAACUUCGGGAAACCGGAGCUAAUACCGGAUAAUAUAUUGAACCUCAUUGUUCAAUAGUUAAAGACGGUUUUGCUGUCACUUAUAGAUGGAUACGCGCGUCAUUAAUUAGUUGGUAAGGUAACGGAUUACCAAGGCAACGAUGCGUAGACGACACGAGAGAGUGGUUCGCCACCCUGGCAGGGAGACUGGUCACCGACUCCGACACGAGGCAGCGGUACGGACUCUUCCGCGAUGGGCGAGAGCCUGACGUAGCAACGCGGCGGGAGUGAUGAUGGACUUCUGAUCGGAGAGCGAUGUUAUUCGGGAAGAACAAAUGUGUAAGUAACUAUGAUGGUAUUGACAGUACCGGAUGAGAAAGCCACGGCUAACUACGUG
This 497-nucleotide ribosomal RNA is filed under the name uncultured bacterium. RNAcentral's name for it is "partial 16S ribosomal RNA". It matches the Rfam family "Bacterial small subunit ribosomal RNA", at positions 28 to 507 of the family's 1533-position model. The record is from RNAcentral.